This 254-nucleotide ribosomal RNA is filed under the name uncultured bacterium. Its description in RNAcentral is "partial 16S ribosomal RNA". It matches the Rfam family "Bacterial small subunit ribosomal RNA", at positions 524 to 776 of the family's 1533-position model. The record is from RNAcentral.
UACGUAGGGGGCAAGCGUUGUCCGGAAUUAUUGGGCGUAAAGAGCUCGUAGGCGGUGUGUCGCGUCGGCCGUGAAAACCUGGGGCUUAACUCUGGGCGUGCGGUCGAUACGGGCAUCACUAGAGUUCGGCAGGGGAGACUGGAAUUCCUGGUGUGACGGUGAAAUGCGCAGAUAUCAGGAGGAACACCGGUGGCGAAGGCGGGUCUCUGGGCCGAUACUGACGCUGAGAAGCGAAAGCAUGGGGAGCGAACAGG